Molecule: ribosomal RNA, 494 nt
Filed under: uncultured bacterium
Lineage: Bacteria
Description: partial 16S ribosomal RNA
Rfam family: Bacterial small subunit ribosomal RNA
Source: RNAcentral
GACGAACGCUGGCGGCGCGCUUAACACAUGCAAGUCGAACGGAAAGGCCUGCUUUCCCUUGUGGAUUGCGGGUACUCGAGUGGCGAACGGGUGAGUAACACGUGAGUGAUCUGCCCCCAACUUGGGUAUAAGCCUGGGAAACUGGGUCUAAUUCCCGAUAGGACGGCAGGGUGGUGCCUGUGGUGGAAAACGAUUUUCUAGUGGUUGGGGAUGAGCUCGCGGCCUAUCAGCUUGUUGGUGGGGUAAUGGCCUACCAAGGCGGCGACGGGUAGCCGGCCUGAGAGGGUGGACGGCCACAUUGGGACUGAGAUACGGCCCAGACUCCUACGGGAGGCAGCAGUGGGGAAUAUUGCACAAUGGGCGGAAGCCUGAUGCAGCGACGCCGCGUGGGGGAUGACGGCCUUCGGGUUGUAAACUCCUUUCGACCGCGAGGAAGCCACCUGGUUGGAAGGGUGGUGACGGUAGUGGUAGAAGAAGCACCGGCUAACUACGUG